CCUACGGGUGGCAGCAGUGAGGAAUAUUGGUCAAUGGACGAGAGUCUGAACCAGCCAAGUAGCGUGAAGGAUGACUGCCCUAUGGGUUGUAAACUUCUUUUAUAUGGGAAUAAGAUUUUCCACGUGUGGGAUUUUGUAUGUACCAUAUGAAUAAGGGUCGGCCAACUUCGUGCCAGCAGCCGCGGUAAUACGGAGGAUCCGAGCGUUAUCCGGAUUUGUUGGGUUUAAAGUGAGCGUAGGUGGAUUGUUAAGUCAGUUGUGAAAGCUUGCGGCUCAACCGUAAAAUUGCAGUUGAAACUGGCAGUCUUGAGUACUGUAGAGGUGGGCAGAAUUCGUGGUGUAGCGGUGAAAUGCUUAGAUAUCACGAAGAACUCCGAUUGCGAAGGCAGCCCCCUGGAC
This 399-nucleotide ribosomal RNA is filed under the name uncultured bacterium. RNAcentral describes it as "partial 16S ribosomal RNA". It matches the Rfam family "Bacterial small subunit ribosomal RNA", at positions 338 to 734 of the family's 1533-position model. The record is from RNAcentral.